Molecule: ribosomal RNA, 370 nt
Filed under: uncultured organism
Description: bacterial SSU rRNA
Rfam family: Bacterial small subunit ribosomal RNA
Source: RNAcentral
CGGGGGGGGCAAGCGUUGUUCGGAAUUACUGGGCGUAAAGGGCUCGUAGGCGCCAUCUAAGUCAGACGUGAAAUCCCUGGCUUAACGGGGACUGCGUCUGAUACUGGGAUGGCUUGAGUUUGGGAGAGGGAUGCGGAAUUCCAGGUGUAGCGGUGAAAUGCGUAGAUAUCUGGAGGAACACCGGUGGCGAAGGCGGCAUCCUGGACCAAUACUGACGCUGAGUGAGCGAAAGCCAGGGGAGCAAACGGGAUUAGAUACCCCGGUAGUCCUGGCCCUAAACGAUGAAUGCUUGGUGUGACGGGUAUCGAUCCCUGUCGUGCCGAAGCUAACGCAUUAAGCAUUCCGCCUGGGGAGUACGGUCGCAAGGCUG